ACAUAGCCCCGAUUGCAGUGGAAAUCCUUUUUUGAAAAAAAAGAUUGCAACGGAAAGCGGGAGACAAU
This 68-nucleotide small RNA is filed under the name Epilithonimonas xixisoli. RNAcentral describes it as "Chryseobacterium xixisoli Flavo-1 RNA". It matches the Rfam family "Flavo-1 RNA". Lineage: Bacteria; Pseudomonadati; Bacteroidota; Flavobacteriia; Flavobacteriales; Weeksellaceae. The record is from RNAcentral.